This 345-nucleotide ribosomal RNA is filed under the name uncultured bacterium. RNAcentral describes it as "bacterial SSU rRNA". It matches the Rfam family "Bacterial small subunit ribosomal RNA", at positions 458 to 793 of the family's 1533-position model. The record is from RNAcentral.
AGCAUAUUCAUUUGACGUUAGCUGCAGAAGAAAGCACCGGCUAACUCCGUGCCAGCAGCCGCGGUAAUACGGAGGGUGCGAGCGUUAAUCGGAAUUACUGGGCGUAAAGCGCAUGCAGGUGGUUUGUUAAGUCAGAUGUGAAAGACCCGGGGCGUCAACCUCGGAAUUGCAUUUGUAAACUAGGCAAACUAGAGUACUGUAGAGGGGGGUAGGAAGUUUCAGGUGUAGCGGUGAAAUAGCGUAGAGAUCUGAAGGAAUACCGGUGGCGAAGGCGGCCCCCUCGGACAGAUACUGACACUCAGAUGCGAAAGCGUGGGGAGCAAACAGGAUUAGAUACCCUGGUAG